GACAGGGGGACACUGAGAGACAUGGGGACACUGGGAGACAUGGGGACACUGACUGGGAUACAUGGGAACACUGUGUCCCGAUGUCUCCUAGUGUCUCCCAGUGUCCCCAAGUCUCAGUGUCCCUAUGUCU
Non-coding RNA from Pelobates cultripes (western spadefoot toad), 130 nucleotides. Lineage: Eukaryota; Metazoa; Chordata; Amphibia; Anura; Pelobatidae. The record is from the annotation of a GenBank genome assembly.